CGAAGCAUGAGCUGUGAUGGGGAAGGAAAUUAAGUACGGAAGUUCCUGAUUUCACGCUGUCAAGAAAAGCCUCUAGGAAGAGUAGUACUGCCCGUACCGCAAACCGACACAGGUAGAUGAGGAGAGAAUCCUAAGGUGAGCGAGAGAACUCUCGUUAAGGAACUCGGCAAAAUGACCCCGUAACUUCGGGAGAAGGGGUGCUCUAUUAGGGUGCAAGCCCGAGAGAGCCGCAGUGAAUAGG
Molecule: ribosomal RNA, 241 nt
Filed under: Listeria monocytogenes
Lineage: Bacteria; Bacillati; Bacillota; Bacilli; Caryophanales; Listeriaceae
Description: partial 23S ribosomal RNA
Rfam family: Bacterial large subunit ribosomal RNA
Source: RNAcentral